Molecule: ribosomal RNA, 330 nt
Filed under: uncultured eukaryote
Lineage: Eukaryota
Description: partial 18S ribosomal RNA
Rfam family: Eukaryotic small subunit ribosomal RNA
Source: RNAcentral
CCCUUAGAUGUUCUGGGCCGCACGCGUGCUACACUGAUGCAUUCAACGAGUCUAAAACCUGGUCUGAUAGGGCUGGGUAAUCUUUUGAAAGUGCAUCGUGAUUGGGAUAGAUGAUUGCAAUUCUUCAUCUUCAACGAGGAAUGCCUAGUAAACGCAAGUCAUCAGCUUGCAUUGAUUACGUCCCUGCCCUUUGUACACACCGCCCGUCGCUCCUACCGAUUGAAUGAUCCGAUGAAUAUCAUGGGUUGAGAGUACGAAUGGGUUCGCUCAUUUCUGCUGCUCGAGAAGUGAAGUAAAUCUUAUCAUUUAGAGGAAGGAGAAGUCGUAACA